GUCUUGCGCUGCAGGUACUGGGGAAGAACAACAGACCCCACGAUUACAAAGUUUGCGCCUUAACAUUUUAGAUCUGGUGUUUUCUUACUAUGGGUACAUUU
This is a long non-coding RNA of Octodon degus (degu), 101 nucleotides long. RefSeq lists it as uncharacterized. The record is from RefSeq and is a predicted model, not a curated record. The transcript has 3 exons. Lineage: Eukaryota; Metazoa; Chordata; Mammalia; Rodentia; Octodontidae.